AUUGAACGCUGGCGGCAGGCCUAACACAUGCAAGUCGAGCGGUAACACAGGGAGCUUGCUCCUGGGUGACGAGCGGCGGACGGGUGAGUAAUGUCUGGGAAACUGCCUGAUGGAGGGGGAUAACUACUGGAAACGGUAGCUAAUACCGCAUAAUGUCGCAAGACCAAAGAGGGGGACCUUCGGGCCUCUUGCCAUCAGAUGUGCCCAGAUGGGAUUAGCUAGUAGGUGGGGUAACGGCUCACCUAGGCGACGAUCCCUAGCUGGUCUGAGAGGAUGACCAGCCACACUGGAACUGAGACACGGUCUAGACUCCUACGGGAGGCAGCAGUGGGGAAUAUUGCACAAUGGGCGCAAGCCUGAUGCAGCCAUGCCGCGUGUAUGAAGAAGGCCUUCGGGUUGUAAAGUACUUUCAGCGGGGAGGAAGGUGUUGAGGUUAAUAACCUCAGCAAUUGACGUUACCCGCAGAAGAAGCACCGGCUAACUACGUGCCAGCCGCCGCGGUAA
Molecule: ribosomal RNA, 504 nt
Filed under: uncultured bacterium
Lineage: Bacteria
Description: partial 16S ribosomal RNA
Rfam family: Bacterial small subunit ribosomal RNA
Source: RNAcentral